UUUAUGGAGAGUUUGAUCCUGGCUCAGAGUGAACGCUGGCGGCGUGCCUAAUACAUGCAAGUCGAACGAUGAAGCUUCUAGCUUGCUAGAAGCGGAUUAGUGGCGCACGGGUGAGUAACGCAUAGGUCAUGUGCCUCUUAGUUUGGGAUAGCCAUUGGAAACGAUGAUUAAUACCAGAUACUCCCUACGGGGGAAAGAUUUAUCGCUAAGAGAUCAGCCUAUGUCCUAUCAGCUUGUUGGUAAGGUAAUGGCUUACCAAGGCUAUGACGGGUAUCCGGCCUGAGAGGGUGAACGGACACACUGGAACUGAGACACGGUCCAGACUCCUACGGGAGGCAGCAGUAGGGAAUAUUGCUCAAUGGGGGAAACCCUGAAGCAGCAACGCCGCGUGGAGGAUGAAGGUUUUAGGAUUGUAAACUCCUUUUGUUAGAGAAGAUAAUGACGGUAUCUAACGAAUAAGCACCGGCUAACUCCGUGCCAGCAGCCGCGGUAAUACGGAGGGUGCAAGCGUUACUCGGAAUCACUGGGCGUAAAGAGCGCGUAGGCGGGAUAGUCAGUCAGGUGUGAAAUCCUAUGGCUUAACCAUAGAACUGCAUUUGAAACUACUAUUCUAGAGUGUGGGAGAGGUAGGUGGAAUUCUUGGUGUAGGGGUAAAAUCCGUAGAGAUCAAGAGGAAUACUCAUUGCGAAGGCGACCUGCUGGAACAUUACUGACGCUGAUUGCGCGAAAGCGUGGGGAGCAAACAGGAUUAGAUACCCUGGUAGUCCACGCCCUAAACGAUGGAUGCUAGUUGUUGGAGGGCUUAGUCUCUCCAGUAAUGCAGCUAACGCAUUAAGCAUCCCGCCUGGGGAGUACGGUCGCAAGAUUAAAACUCAAAGGAAUAGACGGGGACCCGCACAAGCGGUGGAGCAUGUGGUUUAAUUCGAAGAUACACGAAGAACCUUACCUAGGCUUGACAUUGAGAGAAUCCGCUAGAAAUAGUGGAGUGUCUGGCUUGCUAGACCUUGAAAACAGGUGCUGCACGGCUGUCGUCAGCUCGUGUCGUGAGAUGUUGGGUUAAGUCCCGCAACGAGCGCAACCCCCUUUCUUAGUUGCUAACAGGUUAUGCUGAGAACUCUAAGGAUACUGCCUCCGUAAGGAGGAGGAAGGUGGGGACGACGUCAAGUCAUCAUGGCCCUUACGCCUAGGGCUACACACGUGCUACAAUGGGGUGCACAAAGAGAAGCAAUACUGCGAAGUGGAGCCAAUCUUCAAAACACCUCUCAGUUCGGAUUGUAGGCUGCAACUCGCCUGCAUGAAGCUGGAAUCGCUAGUAAUCGCAAAUCAGCCAUGUUGCGGUGAAUACGUUCCCGGGUCUUGUACUCACCGCCCGUCACACCAUGGGAGUUGUGUUUGCCUUAAGUCAGGAUGCUAAAUUGGCUACUGCCCACGGCACACACAGCGACUGGGGUGAAGUCGUAACAAGGUAACCGUAGGUGAACCUGCGGUUGGAUCACCUCCUUUCUAGA
RNAcentral lists this ribosomal RNA (1508 nucleotides) under Helicobacter pylori. RNAcentral describes it as "bacterial SSU rRNA". It matches the Rfam family "Bacterial small subunit ribosomal RNA". Lineage: Bacteria; Pseudomonadati; Campylobacterota; Epsilonproteobacteria; Campylobacterales; Helicobacteraceae. The record is from RNAcentral.